RNAcentral lists this ribosomal RNA (498 nucleotides) under uncultured bacterium. Its description in RNAcentral is "partial 16S ribosomal RNA". It matches the Rfam family "Bacterial small subunit ribosomal RNA", at positions 30 to 523 of the family's 1533-position model. The record is from RNAcentral.
AUUGAACGCUGGCGGCAUGCCUUACACAUGCAAGUCGAACGGUAACAGGUCUUCGGAUGCUGACGAGUGGCGAACGGGUGAGUAAUACAUCGGUACGUGCCUAGUAGUGGGGGAUAACUACUCGAAAGAGUGGCUAAUACCGCAUGAGAUCUACGGAUGAAAGCAGGGGAUCGCAAGACCUUGUGCUACUAGAGCGGCCGAUGGCAGAUUAGGUAGUUGGUGGGAUAAAAGCUUACCAAGCCGACGAUCUGUAGCUGGGCUGAGAGGACGAUCAGCCACACUGGGACUGAGACACGGCCCAGACUCCUACGGGAGGCAGCAGUGGGGAAUUUUGGACAAUGGGCGAAAGCCUGAUCCAGCAAUGCCGCGUGCAGGAUGAAGGCCUUCGGGUUGUAAACUGCUUUUGUACGGAACGAAAAGCCCCGGGUUAAUACCCUGGGGUCAUGACGGUACCGUAAGAAUAAGCACCGGCUAACUACGUGCCAGCAGCCGCGGUAA